UUCCAACCAAGUUACAUUUACUAUUUACUUCGCUUGUUACUAUUGCUAUUUCAUUUAAACAUUUACAACUCUUAGAAUUAAUAAACACUAGAUUUAAUUGUUCCCUAUCUCCUUGUGGAUUCGAUCCCUAAGUACUACAUCUGAACCUCUUUUGAUGAGAGUAACACUCCUUAGGGUAAUUUGAGUGGUAUCAAGACCUGACAUUACUUUCGCAGUAAACAAGCUCUGUCAGUAUUGCUCUGCUCCAAAACAAUCUCACGUCCGUGCGGCCUACAAAGUCUUACAUUACUUGAAAGGCUCAAAUGGAAUGGGAUUGUUCUAUGCAGCUAAUAUUGACUUGACACUCAAGGCUUUCACAGAUGCAGAUUGGGGUGCUUGUAAAGACAUUAGACGUUCCACAACUGGUUAUUGUAUGUUUCUUGGAUCAUCAUUGAUCACUUGGAAAUCCAAGAAGCAAGACACUGUCUCUCAUUCUUCGGCAGAGUCUGAAUAUAUAGCAAUGGGUCAUGGUGAUCGAGAGAUCGAGUGGCUAGUAAAACUACUCAGAGAGUUUGAUGCGCCUCAAGACAAUCAUGUUGCUUUCUUCUGUGACUCAACUGCAGCUAUUCACAUAGCCAACAAUGCAGUUUUUCAUGAGCGAACUAAGCACUUGGAAUCGGAUUGUCAUAAAGUUUAUGAUCAUGUCAAAGAGGGGCUCAUCAAGACUCUUCAUGUCACUUCAGCUAAUCAAGUAGCUGACAUAUUCACUAAACCAUUACAGCCGGGACUCUUUCAUUCUAUUGUUGGCAAGAUGGGACUUACUUCAAUCUCGUCGCCAUCUUGAGAGGGACUAUUAGAGUAUUGGUUUAGAUUGGUUCAAUGUAUUAGAUGGUUAACUCAUUCCGGUUAACUAACUUCUAUAUAAAGACAGUUUCAUUGUAACAGAAAUUUUGAGCUGAAUGAACGUAACAAACUUUUCUCAUCUUAAUAGAUACAAUAUAAAAUCGAAGGACAAAAUAAGACUGUAUGAGAAUUCGAGUAUACUGUGAUUUAAGAUUAUGUGGGGUACAAAGGGGCCAAUAUCCUCUUCUCCUAAUUCUUCUAUAGUCGUCUGUAUGAGAAUCAUAACGUAGGCUUUAUCUUCAACUUAUAUAUGGCACCAUAAAUGUUUCGUUAAAUGUUUUGAUCUUCUUUAACGUUUUCAGUUAUCUGGUCAGAGCGGCGUUGACUCCCUUGGACUCGAGAUGAGCAUUCAUCCUUCUUUGGUUUGUUAUCUUCUUAAUAAGCCUUUUGACUAAUUGGGUCGAAUCUUUAAAUCAGAUGUGGAGUUGGGUGAAACCCACCUCCAAUAGUAAUUUACUAGAGGUCGGUGUGUUUCAGAUCGUUAGCUAGGUCGAGUGUUGGCUCCAGUAGGAUAGCGUAUUUGUGACUGGCAAUUUAUGAUUUUCAAAACCUGAUUCAAGAUUUUAAUUCUCUAAAUUAAUUGUUGAUUUGGCAUGGCGCUUGAUUGACAUAAAUCAAGAAAUUUGAUUUUCCUUCAUUGGAAAGUGAAUCAAUUUGAUGUGGGAAAUCAAUUUUCUUUUUUUUUUGGUUUUGGUGUGAAGAUAUAAGCCCUUUGUCAUUCUUCUUUUUCUCUUUACUUUUACCACUACGUAGUAAUCCGUGCCUUGCGCGAGAUGAGGUUGUUAAUUAUGUUAUUUUUAAGAUGUUAAGACAUUAGGUCUAUUUAUUUUGGAUAUCAGUUUGGUUUUGGUUUAUUUUUUCGGAUUUUAAUAUCCUAUUAUAUAACUAAACUAGCUUUUGACCCGCGUGGGUGUUUUUCUUUCAUGAUUGUUUGUUUUUCACUUUGCACAUAUUCAUGUUAAUAAUUGGUUAUUGUGUUUUUUGACAUUGGUGUUUCUUCUUCAGAUUGUUUAGUUUUUAUUUAUAAACCAUGAACUUAUAUUCUCUUUUAUUGAAAUUUUAUGCAUUUAACUUUAUUUUGAGAAAUUUUUUAUUCAUUUAACUUGGUAAGAAAAGAAUUAAAGUGUACAAUAUUAGACUAUUAAGUAUAAUUGUAUGUGUUAUAUUAAAUUAUAAUAGAAAUAUUUUUAUUUAAAGUAAAUUUUAAAUAUGAUAAAAUAAAGAUUUUUUAAACAAAUACAUUAUAUAACCAGUAACAUGAGAAAAUAAUGAAAUAAAGUAAACAAAACUACAUGCACUUAUAUAUUACUAGAUUUUGGCAAUUUUAUUAGAAGCCCAUUCAACAAUAAUCGAAGCCCAUGCCAAACAAAAAAUCUGAAGCCCGUCUAAUUUUUUGUCCCGGGAAAGAAACAGAAACAUGCCUUGUACGACUUUUAACAUUCCCGUAGAAAAUGAUACUUCUCUAUCACUUAUUUCUUUGCCGUUGUUUUUUUGCUUAAAAAAACAAAUGUUGAAGUUAGAUUUAGUGAUUAACACCACAGAUCUUGAUUAUGGUUCACGCAAAAACUACACAUACCUUGAUUUAGGCAUGCAGGUUUGAGUUUGUAGAUUUAGGUUCAAGUUUAUUUCCAAGUAAAUCGAUUAUUUUUUUUAAUUCAACAUUCUGUGUUAUGAUUUUCAAGAUUAAAAUAUUCACGAUUGACACUCUUUUCAAAGCUGAGCAGUGGUUUACUGAAAGAAAUGUAUGAUCUUCCUGGAACCGAGACCCUUCAAUCGAAUAUAGACAGAGCCCGGACACGGUAUAUUCAUCAAUCAAAAACCUCUUUCACUUUACAGAUCUUUUAAGAAUCAAUACAAGCUCUGCUUUGCUUUCGGUUGUCCUGGAAUGAUUAGGUUAUUUCAGUUUGUGUAACCGUGGUCGGAAUGAAAGAGAUAUCAGUUUGAGUACGGUACAUGUGUAUUUUUUUUGCAAGUUUCAUGGAUUUUGUUUCCCUAGCAAACAAAAUAUAACAGAGGUAGUAUUAGAUUAUCGUUAAAGCAGUAAACUGUUAUAGAUAUAAUGCUAGAAACGUUUAGUAAGAUAGUUUUACCCAUUGGUCUGCUAAAACCAUCUCAAAGUAUCUCCAAAAGAUGUGUUCUGCCUCCUAGAAUGAAAGCACGUAACUUGGACUCGGCAGUUAUUCUUAUACGGCCUGAGUUUUGUGAGAGGAACAAAAGUAGUCAUCUUACACAUUUUUGGAGGUUUUACUUUGAACAAUAUUGUUUUGACGUUAUAGGGGAAGAUGUAUAUAUAGCUAGUUAGGAAAAAAAUAGGGUUAACGCCACAAAAAUUUGUAAAGAUCUUGUUAGUCGUGAAUCAUGAUAUCCAGCAUUAAAACCGAAUAUACUAUUAGAAUAUAUUCCUAAAAUGAUUUGUUAUUUAAAAAUUAACAUAUUUUAAGGAAUGUGGGUUUUUAAUAGUUAAUAUUAUACGUGAUUUGCAAGAUUAGAAUGUAAUUUGUGGUAAUUAAUUGAUAAUAUCCUAAUUGUUUUGUUGAUUGCGCAAAUAUAGGAAAAUAUUUUGAAAGAUAAUUUUGUUAAGGAAAAUAAUAAUUGAUUAGUUUUGAUUUUAAAUUCGCAAAUAUAUAGUGAUAAGAUCGUAUUGCUUUAGUUAGUUUUGAUUUUGAAUAUAUACUAUGAUAAAAAUAUCGAUAUAUAUAUAUAUAUAUAUAUGAAUAAUGAAUUUUAUAUCCAUUUAAUAGACUGGUUUUGAUUAUGCAGACUAAUAUUAUCCGAGGAAUAUCACAAUGGAACUCUAUGGUUUAGUAAAAUUAUGGAAAGGUAUGUAUGAAUCUAAAUUAUUGAAUCCUAUGAUUUUUGUAGACCAAGAGGAAGAAGGUAGGUUAAAAAUUUCAUUACAUAUUGUGCUAUGGUUAUGCAAUGAUAUGUUGGAAAAUAGCUAUUAAUUGUAUUCAGAUGGUUUAGUAUUGUUAAGAUUUUCUUAUGGUUUGGUAAUUAUAUGGUUUAGUUGAUAAAAGAAACGGCUCUGUUUAAAGUUUAGUGGCAGGCGUUUAAUAUAAAUGGUUUCGUAUAGGUUAUGGUUUAGUAAUUUAUCGGUUUAGUCAUAAAAAGAAACGGCAGUGCUAAAUAUAGUGGCAUUGGAUGGUAAAUUUUUAGGAAACCUUAGGACUAUUUCUUUUUUGUACUCCAGUUUUAAUAGAUUAAGACUAGCUUUUGACCCGCGCGUCCGCGCGGAUGUAUGUUCGAUGUAAUUAUAUGUUUUGUUUAUUGUAAAAAUAUUCAUGUUAUUGUUUCAUAUGUUAUUAGUUGUGACAUUGGUGUAUCUUGUUUAUGUUGUUUAGUGUACAUUUUUAAGCUUUGAGGUUGUAUUGUUCUUAUAUUGUAAUUUUUUUUUACUUGGUAAACUAAACAUAAAGUGUAUAAUAUUAGAACAUUUAUUUGAGAUUUAAUAGUUUUAUUAAAUAAGAAAAUCUAAAAUUUGUGAUUUAUAGCUUGUUUUAAAUUUUUGCUUAUAUAGCUUUACAAACAAUAAAAUCGCUAGCAAAUAUACAAACAAUUGGAAAAGUAACCCAAAAACAUAUAAAAAUAUGUAUAUCUCUAUUAAAUAUUUACAAAGCCUAAUUAGAUGAAUUGAUUUGCGCCAUUUUGUUAUGGUUUUAAAAUAUUUAUCAUUUGUAACCGAAUAAAUAGUGGACCUGAAUCACAAAUCAAAAUCUAUGUAAUUUUUUUUUUUUUGGGAAAUAAACAGAAACACGUCUGCCCUGCUACCAGCUGCAUUGAUUUGAACAUUUUUAAUUACUCCCCAUUUUUCAACUGGUAUAGCAUGCUGAACAUGGUACAUGUGUGUUCUUUUGCAACAGGCUUGGAUUUUGUUUCCCUACAAAACAAAACAGAGGAAAUAUUAGUUUAGCUUGUUAAAGCAGUCACCUGUUAUAACACAACAAAUGUUUAGAAAUAUUGGUUUACCCAUUAGUCUGUUAAUACCAUCUCAAAGGUAUCUCUAGAAGCGGUGUUCAUCUUGUAAGCACUUAACUUAAACUCGCUGAUUAUUUUUAUAAGGCCUGAGUUUUGUGAGAGCAUGAAAAGUAGUCAUAGUAGAUAUUUUCGGAGGAUUUGCGUUGAAUGAUAUGGUGUUUAGAUUAUUAGGAAAGAGGUAUAUAUAGCUAGUUAGGAAAGGUUAGAGUAAGUCAAUAUUAAUAUCUAAGAUUUUGUUAGUUGUGAAUUUUUAGUAUUAUAUAGCGAAUAUCCUAUACGAUUUUAUUCCAAGUUUGAUUCUUUGCUUAACGUAAUAAACGAAUAUAAGUUGAGAAAAUUAAGAUAUUUUACGUGAACGGCAAGAUUAAGCACACAAAAAGAUUUUGUGGUAGUUGAUUGAUAUGAUAUUUGUUAUGAAUGUUUAAAUAUAUGAAUAGAUUAGUGGUGGGCUUUCGGGUACCCAUUCAGGUUUGGUUCGGGUCUAUUCGGGUUUCAGAUUUUCGGGGUCAAAGAUUUCAGCUCCAUUCGGGUAUUUCUAAGUUUUGGUUCGGGUUCGGUUUGGAUCUUUGCGGGUUUGGUUCGGAUUAAGAUAACCCAUUAAAAUUAUUUUUAAAAUUUUAAAAUUCAUUUUAUAAUUUAAAUUUCUCAAAAUAUACAAACAAAAUAAUAUAUCACAUAUAAAUUUGAAUAACAUAUAUCAAAAUACCUAAACUUAACAUAUAAUUUGAUUUGGUUUGAAUAUUUGGAUAAAUAAUCAAUAGAUAUUUCAAGUAUUUUUGAUGUUUUGGGUAUAUUUAAGCUAUUUUAUUCAUUUACCUUUGACUAUUUGUAUAUAUUUUUAAGUAUUUGAACAAUUUAAAAAUAUCUUAUAUAUUUUGGAUGUUUUUAAUAGAAAUUAAAUCUAAAAUAUAUUUAUAUACGGGGUAUACAAAUCUAUUUUGGAUACAUUCGGUACCCGAAAUACUUCGGUUCGGGUCGGAUUCGGUUUUGGUUUUGGUUCUUUAGAUACCAAAAUUUUGAAUCCGUUCAGAUAUUUAAUCAAUUUCGGUUAUGAUUCGAUUCGGUUCUUCGGAUUCAGAUUUUUUUUCCCACCUCUAGAAUAGAUAGUAGAGUAAAAAUUGUUUUCAUAAACAUUUUUAGUUGUUCUGUGAGUAAGAAUUUGAUUCCACGCUAUAGGAAUGUUGUAUAUAUACUGUUUGGUCGAGUCUAUAGGUUAAAAAAAUCUUGACUAAAUAUUAGUCAAACAUGAUUUACACAUUUUAAAAAGAAUAUAUACAUAUCUUAAAAUAUUUAAUAACAAUUCUUUUUAUUUUAAUAGUUAAUCAGUUAGGGUUGGUUAAGAUAAGAGAUUUAGAUCUUGUACUAUAAAAUAUCAUACAAUUAAGAUGUUUUUUAAAAAAGAAUUAUUAUAUUUAGUCAUACGUGAUUUCACGUUUUGGAAAUAGAAUAUACAAAUUUUGAAGUAACACUAAUAAAUGUAUUUUUACAUUUCCAUAUUUUAUUAGUUAAUAUUACCUUUUGAAUAGAAUGCAUUUGAAGUUUGAAAGGAAUAUAUAUGCAGAUUUUGUUUGUAAGAUUGAUAUAGAUUUGGUUAUUGUGAUAGCUUAAAAAUAGGAGUCCUCUUUGGAAUUUUUUUUUAUAUUAAGGUUCUACAAAAUUAAUGAUAUAGAUUGUGUGUGCAUCGAAAAAUCUGCUGAAUAUAACAUUCCAAAUUUAGUAUUUCAUAAAUGGUUCGGCUAAAUAAUAUUAAAAACGUGGUUACACAAACCAUAUGUAAGUAUGCAGUUUGGUAUGAAAAUCUUUUACAGACCACCAAAUACAGAUUAUAUACAUAUAAUAUUAAUUUUCUUGAUCAGAGUAUAUAAUUGAAGUACACGUUUGGUUAAGUAUUAGAUGAAAUAUAGUAGACUUAAUAUAUUAUAAUUUUAUGUUAUAGAUUUGACAAACAUGGUUCUUUAUAUUAGCAGUUUACGACUCUACAGCAUUGGAUAGAUUGAAUUUAUGACGGCAUUCAAAUUUCUAACCGAGUUAAGGUUGGUUAAGGGAACACGUGAUAUUUGGUUAAUUCAAUUAAUUGAAUUAAGGUUGAUUUGUAAUGUUGUUAAAUGAGUCAGUGGCAUGCAAUGGUAAUUAUUGUGGAAAAUUAAGGGUUAAGUACAUUUUGUACUUCAGUUUUAAUAGUUUAGAUUGUAAAUUCAUAUUUAUUUUUGUAUAUUAGGUUAAAAUGGUUGAGGUUUUUUGUAAUAAAUCAAAGCUAAUUAGUAUUUGUUUGGUUUUAUGUUAUCAAAAUUUUAGACAAUCCUCAUGUCCACAAAUCAUUUCAUAUUAUAAUUUCUAAACACAUUUAUUAUAAAAUCAAAUCUAGAUACUUGUUGAAGAAAAACAAAAGAAAAUUAUAAAGAAAAAUUAUUUUUAUUACAACUAGGUUAAUGAUGAAAUGAAGAAUUAAAAAUAAUAAUAUUCUAUAUUACUUCUGAAUUAGACUCCUCACUUGCGGUUAAUAUUUAAUUAUAUAGGUACUCACUUAAUGUGCAUAUGUAUAUGUAUGUAAACAUUUUAAAAACUGUUUCAUAAAUAUAUAAAGAUACCGUUAGUUAACGUUGAAAGAAAUUUUGCUCAAUAUAACAAAUGAAAUAUAAAAUUCUUAAAUAAAAUCUAUUAAAAAUAAAAUAGACUUAGUCAUUACCAAAUAAUUUUUUUUAUCUAUUGAAAAUCAAAUUGUAUACAUAAACAAUAAAUUUAAUACAUAUACAAAUUGAGUCUGCUGAAUUUUAUUCUUACAUAGUGUUACACCUUGGUCCAAUCAGAUUUUAACAUUCAUACAUUAUGGUUCAACAUAUAUUUUACAAUUGGGUCUGCGUAAAAUCAAAGCAAACAUAAGAUUCUAAAAUAUGUUUGGACAUUAGGGCCCAUAACAAAAUAGUGAUGUACUGCUUAAAUCUCAAAAACGACGACUGAAAGUGUAUAGGGUUUCGUCUUCACCGCGAUAGACCACAAAACUUUGCAAUAUUCGAUCUGUUCAGUCGAUUCUUUCAAAUCAAUCACCACAAGUUAUUUCUAUUUCUAUAUGUUACUUCACUCCUUUGGAGAAGAAGGUUACAAAAUUCGAUCUCAUCAGUCGAUCCAGUCCCAUGCAUCACCGAUUGUUCUUCACUCGAUCCUUUCGACAUCAUCACCAAAAUUUCUCCCAAAAACCUUGAUUGAAGUAAUUAGUCAAGAGAAGUUUCUGAAAUCCGAGAUUGAGAUAAAUUUCUAAGGUUUCGGGUUUAGGGAAUGACUAAAAUGAAUGGAAGAGGCGAGUCUUAUAUUGCUUUACUAUAACAAACGUCAGAUACACAAGCACAUCUUCAUCAUCCAAAAUAUAUGAUUGCCUCUUAGGUUCCACUAGCAAUGGAAUAUAACUCAAAUUCAGCCUCUUUGUACACGGAUCUAUGGUCUUCUUCUUGCAUAUCCUCUCCUUCAAAAACGAAUAAGUGAUCUCAUCCAAUGAUGAUGUCUUAAAAAAUAUAGCAUACAAACGACCAUCGCUUGGAAUCCAUUCACAAUCAUCUCCAGAUUUCUCAUAAUGUCCAUUAUAGUCAAAGUGUAUGUUUGUAGAAGAAUAACCCAUUAUCUGUUGUACAAAAAAAUUAAACUCUUAAAGUUAUUCAUAGUUAUCUAGUUUUUCUAUUGAAGUUAUACUAAGUUAUAUCUUAUUACACAUUUUUGUCAGGGAGUAAAGUUUCGCCUACUUACAAUUUUCUAGUCUACCAGGUUCACACUAUUCAACCCAUUCAUUUGGGAAAUUCAGCUUUGAUCCCCGACUUUUCUUGUUGAUUAUCCAAUUCCACACACCACUCAACUCCCACACUUUCCCAUUCUCCCCUAAUUGACAACUCAAAUAUGAAAUCUACUGUCUCACUAACCGAACGAGCUUUUCAUUCCACUUUGAUGAGGUUAUAAGAUACAGACUGGAACCAAGAUAAUGUUUUACCUGAAGUUGGGGAUCCAUUGCUCAAUGAUUCAGCAUCCAAGCGAGCAGCCGCAGUCUCCUUUAGAAUCGAAGAAUCGCUGAUUUCGAUUUUAGGGUAGGAGAGCUCCUCUCGCGCCACACCCAAUAAUAACCGUAUUGGAGGAGAGAGAAACAAACAAUAAAUCCUAAUAGAGAGAGAGAAACAAUAAGAAAACAAUAAACCCAUAAAUCCAUCUCGACAGGAGAGAAAGAGAAAUCGCGCUUUGAUUGGUCAUAUAGAGAGGGGCACUUUAGACUUUGCCCAUCGAUUUGAAGAGUAUCAGAAUAGACAAGAGUACACCAGAAUUCGUAAGAGUAAGCCACAAUACUUUUUACCUCAUUAA
Molecule: long non-coding RNA, 9192 nt
Organism: Brassica rapa (field mustard)
Lineage: Eukaryota; Viridiplantae; Streptophyta; Magnoliopsida; Brassicales; Brassicaceae
Source: RefSeq, a predicted model, not a curated record